GUUUUUCCUAAUAAAUGAUCUUUUGUUGCAGUUAAACCUCUAAGUGCAUCUCCUCCCUUAUUGCGGCCUAGCAGCAAGUCGUAACAAAUUGUGGCCUCGUCCAUUGUGAGGUCCACACGCCCACCGUCCUACUAACAGACACACAAAUGGCCGCCUCAUGUUAGGAUCCGGAAAUUACUGUCAGGGCGGUUGAGGCGAAGCAGUUCAUGAUCUAACAGAGAGAAAGGGAGGAGGAGGAGCUGACUGUCAGCAGUAAACAGUGUCCGGUUUAGACAUCAAGUCUACUUUUUGCAAAUGAGUUCCGGGGAGACGCACCGGAUCACAGCUGGAAACGCCUCGCAACUGGACCAGCAUGCAACACGACGCGUUUCACAUAGACAAUGAAUGGGAUGCGAGAAGUUGCAAGAUCUAGUGGACACGUACCUUAAGUGUACUUUGACAAACAGACAUUGCAGGGAUUUGGAGUCAUUCUAUGCUGCAGAUGGGUUAAUUGCAUUAAAAUUUUUUGAUCAGAUUAAUGAUGAUGAUGGAUUAAUCUGCAUUAACGUGUUAAUUUUGACAGUCCUAAAUAAAUAACACAGUAAAAGAUAAAGUAACAUAAAUAAAAAUG
This is a long non-coding RNA of Amphiprion ocellaris (clown anemonefish), 610 nucleotides long. RefSeq lists it as uncharacterized. The record is from RefSeq and is a predicted model, not a curated record. The transcript has 3 exons. Lineage: Eukaryota; Metazoa; Chordata; Actinopteri; Pomacentridae.